GGAGAGGUGAUGUUGAAUGG
RNAcentral lists this non-coding RNA (20 nucleotides) under Arabidopsis thaliana (thale cress). Lineage: Eukaryota; Viridiplantae; Streptophyta; Magnoliopsida; Brassicales; Brassicaceae. The record is from RNAcentral.